UUUUUUUCCUGUAAAAAUUUUUUCAAGGCCUGAGGAAAAUGAUGAAUUAAACUUUUCCUGACAGGAAAGACAACAUCUGAAAAUUCUGCCUGAUAGAUAGAGAGAAGCAUCCUGGCAAGAGACACGGAGCUGACAGACGAAGAGAUGCACGUCUGACAGAAUUGGGACUAUUCACCCAAAGUGAGACAAAGUGAAAUGCCAAGCACAUUGAGAAUCUCUUCCUUCUUACUGUCAACGGAUUCACCUAAUCAAAGCACUUUUAGUCACUGCAUCCAAUUUCCAUCCUCAUCCAACACAUGGUGGGGUCUUUUUCUCGUUUCUUCUGAGUUGACACACACAAAACCCAAGAGUCCCACUUUUGGCGAGGAACGUGUUGCUGUCAGCUUGCAUUUGUUACCGCACAUUGGUUCCCCGUGUCCCAGUAAUGACCCCCUGUAAAGGCCACUGGGCAAGAGAAUUGCAAGAUCGAGCGAGGCGGCGGGAAUUACAGGAAAGGAUUAACGGCAGAACAGCCUGUUGCGACAGCGAAAAACAGCCCGAGGACAGGGGCGUGCUCCCAUCUGACAGGCGGAAGUGUGCCAGGGUUUAUGUAUUAGGUCACAGCAAGAAAGCUAUUUUUGCUGUGCCCUCUGACCUUCUGUAGAAGAACAAGAAAAGAUGAUGUAGAUACUGCUGGUUUGGACUGGCUCAGAGAGAAAAGAAACAAAUAGAUGGGAGUACGUGCCAAGGGUCACUGAUGCUUCCAGAGGGCAGUGGCCUCGGCUGUCUUACUCAAGGCUGAAUUCUUAGCCCCUACAAGACUCAUGCCUGGCAUGUAACAAGUGCACAGCCAGUUUUCC
This 839-nucleotide long non-coding RNA is filed under the name Homo sapiens (human). RNAcentral's name for it is "HSALNT0309339". The record is from RNAcentral. Lineage: Eukaryota; Metazoa; Chordata; Mammalia; Primates; Hominidae.